RNAcentral lists this ribosomal RNA (296 nucleotides) under uncultured fungus. Its description in RNAcentral is "partial 18S ribosomal RNA". It matches the Rfam family "Eukaryotic small subunit ribosomal RNA", at positions 71 to 370 of the family's 1831-position model. Lineage: Eukaryota; Fungi. The record is from RNAcentral.
CAAUUAUACCGUGAAACUGCGAAUGGCUCAUUAAAUCAGUUAUCGUUUAUUUGAUAGUACCUUACUACUUGGAUAACCGUGGUAAUUCUAGAGCUAAUACAUGCUGAAAACCCCAACUUCGGGAGGGGUGUAUUUAUUAGAUAAAAAACCAACGCCCUUCGGGGCUUCUUGGUGAUUCAUGAUAACUUUGCGGAUCGCAUGGCCUUGCGCCGGCGACGGUUCAUUCAAAUUUCUGCCCUAUCAACUUUCGAUGGUAAGGUAUUGGCUUACCAUGGUUUCAACGGGUAACGGGGAAU